RNAcentral lists this ribosomal RNA (412 nucleotides) under uncultured bacterium. RNAcentral describes it as "bacterial SSU rRNA". It matches the Rfam family "Bacterial small subunit ribosomal RNA", at positions 64 to 507 of the family's 1533-position model. The record is from RNAcentral.
GAGCGAGAAAGUGGAGCAAUCCAUGAGUAAAGCGGCGACCGGAGUGAGUAACACGUGACUAACCUACCUCCGAGUGGGGAAUAACUCCGGGAAACCGGGGCUAAUACCGCAUAACAUCGCAAGAUCAAAGCAGCAAUGCGCUUGGAGAGGGGGUCGCGGCUGAUUAGCUAGUUGGCGGGGUAACGGCCCACCAAGGCGAAGAUCGGUAUCCGGCCUGAGAGGGCGCACGGACACACUGGAACUGAAACACGGUCCAGACUCCUACGGGAGGCAGCAGUGGGGAAUUUUGCGCAAUGGGGGAAACCCUGACGCAGCAACGCCGCGUGGAGGAUGAAGCCCUUUGGGGCGUAAACUCCUUUCGAUCGGGACGAUUAUGACGGUACCGGAUGAAGAAGCACCGGCUAACUCUGUG